UAGAAAUCACAGGGUGAGAUAAUUAAACCAAAUCCAAACAGUUUAUUACAACAAGAAAUAUAAAUGGUUUGAAUCUAUUAUUUGAAGGAAGAUUGGAUCAAAAAUAAAAAAUCUAAUUAUGAGCCAUUUCAAGAAUAUGACUAAAAUAUAAGGCUACAAAAAGACUAAAGCCUUGUUCCAGGCCUCUAGGAGGCAUAGUAACAAGAAAUGGGCCUGGUUUGAGACAAGAGAGUUAAUUAGUAAACCAAGGUGCCAUGAGAAGGGAAACGUCCCCCUCACUCUCCUGGUAAUGGUAAUGAUUUUAGGAAUUCUAACAUGCUUAACCAGGCCACCUGUAAAGAAACUAUACUUUCUUUUCUUGGAAACAGCACAAAAGAAACUAUUAAAACUAGCUAAUGAACUAUGUAUGCCUUGAAGUUCAAUCUUCUUGUGAAAUAUGUAUAAGAACCCUUUGAUCAAUGUUUUAUCUCUACCAGUACCCCCUUCUCCAUCUGCAAGUCCACAUAACAUAUCUAUAUCUUCAAGGACAGAAUUCUGAAGAUUAAAGAAAUAAGUAUACCAGCAUAUACUUUCCCUAGUAUUUAAACUUAGUUACAACAGGGUAUGAUGGUACAUGCCUGAAGUCCCAACAUUCUGGUGGUUAAGGUGGAAGGGUUGCCUUGAGUUCCAGGCUAGCCUGGUGUAUAUAGCAAGUUCUAGGGCAACCAGAGCUAUAUCGCAACAUCCUCUAAACAAACAAACAAAGAUUAAGUAGUUUCCAAGCCCCCAAAUCAGAUAUAUAGCUACUGCUGGAAAUAUAGGUACAUUCCUCUCCUAACACACAAACUCUUCAAGUACUGCUUGCUUUAUCUUCUGCUUAAUCAAGUCACUAACUGCUUUACUGUGACACAUCCAAAUAUUGUUUUCCACUGCAGGUUUCAAGGAUUCCUGUGUACCAGGGCAGAGGCCCCUGAGGCUCUGAGCGCGACUCCUGAGGCAGCACUUCAGGCAACAUUGAGUUGUAUUUCCUGUUGCCAGUCACAGACUCAGCCCUCAGGGGAUCACAACGUGGUGAGGGACACACAGGUCCAAGGUCUGGUCCCAGUCCUCAUUGGCCACAGUCUGGUGGAGGUGACAAGAACCUGAGGCCUGAUCUCAGCCCUAAGGGGUCACAAUCUGGUGAGGAACACACAGGAAUCAGUUUUGGUCCCAGCCCUCAUCAGUCACAGUCUGGUGGGAGAAUCAUUGUCACCAAGGCAGGUCCCAGCACUUGGGGAUCAAAGUUUGGUGGAGACACGGGAACAGAACCUGAGUCCACUGCGGGGGGCCAGUGUCUUGGACCAUUCAAUUGGCAGCGAUUUCCCCCCACCCGGGGUCCUGGAAAUUGCAGCUGGGGGAGGGGGGCUGUAGAAAUAACUAAUCAGAGCUAUAGGUACCGCUUUCAAAAAGCCAGACUCCAGGCAGUCUGCCACUCUGCCAGCCAGUCGGAAGGAGUAUGAAAGGUGGGGUCUCAAGGGGCGGUGCUAAUCAGGAGGAAAGGGAGCGGAGCCCCGGGACCACCAAUCAUAACCAGAACCUUCCAGUGCCGCUGCCCAACUAGAGGGCGAGUCUUUUUGGUCGUCUGGACAGGGUGGGGAUGGGUUCGUGGGUUUCAGCGCUGGAAGGGCCGGAGAGGUCUGGCACAAGUGUGGAGGGCUCUAGUUCGGUGGCCCGGGGCGAGGGGGGCACUCACCCAGUCUACGCGAUCGCCACGUCGCUUCCCGGCACAGGUGGAGAAAUCUCCUGGUUUUGUUUUUACAGAGUGAUUAUCACAUUGUUGAAACUUUGACUGGUGGUUACACCCUCCCACACAGCACUUCAUGUUGCCAUAGGAGCCAACCACAGAGACAGCACCUGAGGCUCUGAUGUGUGUGAUCAUCUCUACAAGCAAUGCCACAUCUCUGUCCUGGCUGGUGUCCCAAUGUCUGCAGUGGACUUGGUUUUCAGAUGAUGCCCAGCAAGUGUUGACCACAGGACUCCAUCAUCCAGUCGACUAGCAGUGGGGAGGAUGGGGAAUGCACUGCUGGCCUCUCUGCCUUAUGAGGACGGGCUGCUGUAGGACUCUGGGCAGCACCAAGGCUUCUUCUCACCCUGUGACACUACUGCCCCUGGGUUUCUGCUUCACCCCAUCUGCAUGCUGUUACCCCUUUUCUUUUUGGUUUUUUUGAGACAGGGUUUCACUGUGUAACCCUGGCCAUCCUGGAACUCGCUAUGUAGACCAUGAUAGCCCCUAACUCACAGAGAUAAGCCUGCCUUUGCCUCCCAAGUGCUGUGAUUAAAGGAGUGUGCUGCCAUGCCCAGCCAUGCCCUCUUUCUUUCAGAGCCAGUUGGGGACUACUUUGAGCCCUGUCUCCUGCCAGGGUGUCAUUUCUAGAACACAUUGUCAACGGUCACCCCAGCUUACACUCCCUGUGAAAGACAACUUCCAACAGAGCCAAUAGUACCCAGCACUCCUUAGAGAGGUCUAAGAUGGUAACUUGCUGGAGACAGUUUCAUGUAAUCCAAUUUAGCCUUAAAGUCACUAUGUAGCAGGUGAUGACCUUAAACUCCUGUUACUUCUGCUUCCACCUCCCAUGAGCUGGGAUUGCAGGGGUG
Molecule: long non-coding RNA, 2613 nt
Organism: Nannospalax galili (Upper Galilee mountains blind mole rat)
Lineage: Eukaryota; Metazoa; Chordata; Mammalia; Rodentia; Spalacidae
Exons: 3
Source: RefSeq, a predicted model, not a curated record